Molecule: long non-coding RNA, 3188 nt
Organism: Equus caballus (horse)
Lineage: Eukaryota; Metazoa; Chordata; Mammalia; Perissodactyla; Equidae
Source: Ensembl
GACAGAACGCAGGUUGGUGGUUUCAAGGGACUGUAGGAGAGAAUGAGAAGAAGCUGCUUAGUGGACCUGUUCCCAGCCAGAGUCCAGUGAGGAAGCAAUGUGGACAGGUGGAGGCCGGAUUAGGAAGAAGCAGAGCCAUGGCCAGGGGAAAAUAAAGAGGCAUGCCUGAAGCUCCAGAGAGGCAUCGAGGAGGCUGAUAAAGCAAAGUCAAUGAGAAAAUUGGCUCAUAAACAAACUUCAAGAAGUAAAUUUGACAAAAUCUUCUUGGCUGAUUGAGAUUUGCAGAUGCCAAGUGAAAGAUGGGGCAACAGUGGUGAAAUACUCUCUUGAAUCCAGCACAGGAGGGAGAAGAGUAAAGAAAGCCCCUCACACCUGCGAAGGGAGCACAACCACCCUCCUGAGAUGGAAGUAUGACCCCAUGAGGGAGGCGAGAAUACUCUGAUGGAGCUCCAUGCCCCGGUGAGGACGAGAGACGAGGGACAAGUCUGCAGGGCAGGACCACCUCAGGCAGCUCUCCUCCUCUGUUCCUUUUUGACCUGAACAGGCAGUAUUUGAAAGCAACUACACCGAGUGCCCCCAGGCUUGUGAGCUUGAAGAAAGUGACCCUGCAGCCAACCAGGGCUCUUCCCUGAUAUAGUGAACAGCAACACAGCAAAAGGAACUCUCAUUACAGUGCACAUUACAUACCACAGAUGAGAAAACUGAGACACACACCAAAAAUCCUCCCAGUAGGAUAGAGUUAGUGAGUUAUAGAGCCAGGAUUCUCAAGGAGACAGCCAGAUUCCAGAGGCCAAACUCUUUCUGACAAUGCCAUAUUGUUGCAUUCAGGAGGACCCCUGGGUGUUGCUACAAAGGGCAGCCAGGUUCAAGCGGAAGCCAUGGCAGAAAGUUGGCCCUGGUGCUUCCUCACCAAAGAAAGAGAACAAGAAUGGCAGAGAUGAUAUAGAUCCAACGGAAAUGUGCAAGGCCAUAGCUCCCUCCACACUCUGCUCGGGCUGCAAUAUGGCCAGAUUGGUUUCAUCAAUUACCAGAAAGGGCCCUUCUUUCCCAUUUUGUGUGGACUGGGAUGAUUUCAUCAGAGAUUAUCAUAAUUCUCAAACAGAACCCGUAACAAUUACUAUUUCACUAGAAGACAAUACUAGCUAAUUGCAGAAUUUGGGCUCUAGGGGCGAGCAAACCUAAAGAAACCGCACUUCCCUGGGUAGACAGGACUGGAGAGUCAGGAAUGGGGAGGAGCUCUGCCUUGUGGUGUCUUAGGGAAGCAGCAGUCCCAGGAUGGGAGAGGAGUGUGCUCAGAGAGCCAGCCUCCCCUUAUUGGUGCACCUGUUCUCUGAUGACCACUGUGGGCACCUGGGCGGGACAUAGCAAAUGUAGGUGAGAAGGCACAAAGUAGCUGGGACAUACAAUCAUGAGAGGAGACAAACUCAUCUUGUCUCCAUUGCCCCAGGAAGGAAAGAGAGCAGGCAGAGAGGAGAACACAGAGGCAACACAGAGGCUCUCAAAAGCAAGGCGUCCACAGUCAGGCUGUUCAGGGGAUUAAAGGAGAGAGCUGGAGGGAAGCAGCCCUGGGUUCAAAUGCCAGCACUCCUGUGAGUUUCCUGAGUCACCUGGGCCAGGUUGCUCGACGGAUUUGAGUUGCAGACUCUUCUGUCCCGUGGAGAUGAUUACCUAUCUCCUGUGUUGGCAUAGGAAUCGAGUGUUACAGGUAUGUUAGCCUGGAAAGUGACUGUCACUCACACACAGACCCAUUCUCACCCUCGUCCACCCAAGUUUAUUCUCCACAUAUCAGCAAGGCACCCAGAGUGAACUUUUAAAAUCAUAAACAGGACCAUGCAGCUCCCCCAUUUCGACACUUUCAUGCCUCAUCAUCGCCAUGGGAACAAAUCCACAGGACUCCCCACUGUCUGCAUGGUUUGCCCACGGCUGCUACUCCAACCUCACCUUUGCCCCCCUCCCCUUUGCCCACUGGGCCACAGCUCCAUUGAUGGAAUCACCUUUCCUCCACUUGUCAAGCAUGCCCUAACUCGGCCUGAGCAUGUGCUGUUCCCUCUUACUCAGGGCUCUUCCCCAGAUAUUUACAUGGCUCAGCUCAGUUCAUCAAGGUCUCUGCCCAAAGGCCACAUCUUUGGAACACUCUUCCCUGACUAAUCCAUCAAAAAUAACCAUCUUUUUAUGCCUCAUCCCCUUACCCAACUUUAGUCUCCUUCUUGGGUAUUAUAUUAUGCAUUUAUUUCUCAUCUGUUGUCUAUUUCCUGUAGUACAUCGUGAGUUCCAGUCCUCUGUACCCCAAUGCCUAGAUCAGUGCCAGCAUACAGAGGUAGACAAUAAAGGUGUCACCUUUGCCUUCCUUUUUUCAUCCCCCCUCCUCUCUCACACUAUAGAAUCUCAUUGCAGAAGAUAUGAGAAUCAGAGUUGCGUUUCCAUAACUGGAGGAGUCAAGCCACCUGUGCUCCUAUAGGUCCCACCUCCUUUGCCUAUGAAAUCCACGUCAAAUUUCAUGCUCUGUCCGCUUCCUCCUCCGUGUCCUGGCCUCAUGGAGCUUCCUGAGCUCUGCAUCCAUUUCCACGGCCAGGAGGAAGCAAGACUUAAUAGAUUGCUCACGGAACUGCCAGCCCCGUCUUUGCGCCUCCAGCUUCAGCUCCCCAGUCAGCUCCUAAGUGUGGCAGUAAGCUCUGUAGCCAGUGGCUGGUAUCGUUAUAGGCACCUGUUAAGCUCUAUGAGCCGUUAUGGCACUCGAUACAUAAUAAAUAAUAAUAUGCUGCCAAAUGAUUACUGUAUGACUGCCGCUAUGAUGAACCGUUCAGGAGGAAGUAAUAACCGUGAGCAACUAGGAAAGCAAACAAAGAAACGAUCUGCUGUGCUGUACCUAAAAAUAAAUCUAGGAACACAGAGAGAUUCAUCAGGGGUUGAAAUAUUUUGUUGACAAAGCCACAGGGAUAAUAGGCACGUUUAAAUGUGCCCCUUUUUGCACAGCUUCACUGUGCGGUGCUAACAUACAUUUCUCCAGCCCUCACAGUCACAUGAACUCAGAAGGGGCCACUGGGGGCUAGAGAGAAGACACACACUGACCCCUUGUCGUAGUUGGUGACUUCAGAUGGUGACUCAGAUAUACUAUGUCCAGGGAAGCUGGGUUCAGUCUGACUCCCAACAACCAGCAGUUGGAUGCUCAGAAAAGGGCAAUAAUGGGG